GGUUAACUCUUCUGUGUAAGAGAUCAAUGCCAAGUCAAAAGUGCUGUCAUUUCAGACUGUGGAACAUGCUGGAUUUCAUCUUAUGGAGUAUCUUUGUUCUGGGAAUGUUGCAAAUAAAGGAUUCUAGGAUGAGAUGGCUGCAGGUGGGACAGACUCAGCUCUACACGGAGUUUAUUUGUCUGCAGCUUGCAGGAGACAAAAGAGAGGUUGCUGGGCUGGAGGAGAGACGAAGAAGUCAGUCAGUCAGCCAGCCAUAUUCCUAAAGACUAUGUGGCUGGUAGUCAGCGCAGGAACUGGUGGGAGCAGCUGGCGGUGGCUCAGAAUGCAG
RNAcentral lists this long non-coding RNA (328 nucleotides) under Dromaius novaehollandiae (emu). Its description in RNAcentral is "lncRNA (ENSDNVG00000011830.1)". Lineage: Eukaryota; Metazoa; Chordata; Aves; Casuariiformes; Dromaiidae. The record is from RNAcentral.